ACCUGCGGAGGAUCAUUAAUGAGGGCGUGUGGGGCUUAAUAUCCCCC
This 47-nucleotide ribosomal RNA is filed under the name Peltigera canina. RNAcentral describes it as "partial 18S ribosomal RNA". Lineage: Eukaryota; Fungi; Ascomycota; Lecanoromycetes; Peltigerales; Peltigeraceae. The record is from RNAcentral.